GUGAAAUUUCUGCUGAGUUACAGGCUAUUCCAGAUCUGAUAAUUGGCAAUUAUAGUGAUGGGAAUCUCGUUGCAUCAUUAUUGGCUUAUAAGCUUGGAGUCACACAGUGUACAAUUGCACAUGCAUUGGAGAAAACAAAAUAUCCAGAUUCAGACAUAUAUUGGAA
This is a long non-coding RNA of Telopea speciosissima, 166 nucleotides long. RefSeq lists it as uncharacterized. The transcript has 2 exons. The record is from RefSeq and is a predicted model, not a curated record. Lineage: Eukaryota; Viridiplantae; Streptophyta; Magnoliopsida; Proteales; Proteaceae.